Long non-coding RNA from Alnus glutinosa, 493 nucleotides. RefSeq lists it as uncharacterized. The transcript is spliced from 3 exons. NCBI's taxonomy places the organism in Eukaryota, Viridiplantae, Streptophyta, Magnoliopsida, Fagales, Betulaceae. The record is from RefSeq and is a predicted model, not a curated record.
GUGUAUUGGUUGAAUUCUGAGACAUUUUGAUAUAAAAAGUAGACAUAUCAAAUAUAUCUCUUCUCCAAAACUCUUCCUUUCAUUAUCCUUCGGUUCUCUUUGUUGUUCACAGGUGAAAGGUUGUCUCUGUGUUUGUUUAGGGGAGAAAUGAGUGACCCCAAGUAUGCAUAUCCCUACCCUGCACAAGGUCAAGGCUAUUAUCAAGGACCCCCAGUAAUGGCACCUCCACAGUAUGGUGCUCCACCACCCAGAAGAGAAGCAGGUUUUCUUGAGGGAUGUCUAGCGGCUCUCUGUUGCUGUUGCCUCAUUGACGAAUGUUGCUGCGACCCUUCCAUCAUCUUUGUGUGCUAAUCAUCCUGUAAUAGUGUAAUCUCAUGCAGUCCAAUAAUUUCCCACUUAUAAAUCUAGUGUAAUUGAAGGUAUUCGUACAUGUUGGAUCGAUAACUUAUGUUUUAUUUGGUUUCAAUUCCCACUUAUCUUUUAUUUGGUUUAA